AGUGAACGCUGGCGGUAGGCCUAACACAUGCAAGUCGAACGGCAGCACAGUAAGAGCUUGCUCUUACGGGUGGCGAGUGGCGGACGGGUGAGGAAUACAUCGGAAUCUACUUUUUCGUGGGGGAUAACGUAGGGAAACUUACGCCAAUACCGCAUCCGACCUACGGGUGAAAGCAGGGGAUCUUCGGACCUUGCGCGGAUGAAUGAGCCGAUGUCGGAUUAGCUAGUUGGCGGGUGAAAGGCCCACCAAGGCGACGAUCCGUAGCUGGUCUGAGAGGAUGAUCAGCCACACUGGAACUGAGACACGGUCCAGGCUCCUACGGGAGGCAGCAGUGGGGAAUAUGGGACAAUGGGCGCAAGCCUGAUCCAGCCAUACCGCGUGGGUGAAGAAGGCCUUCGGGUUGUAAAGCCCUUUUGUUGGGAAAGAAAAGCAGCAGGUUAAUACCCCGCUGUUCUGACGGUACCCAAAGAAUAAGCACCGGCUAACUUCGUG
This 492-nucleotide ribosomal RNA is filed under the name uncultured bacterium. RNAcentral describes it as "partial 16S ribosomal RNA". It matches the Rfam family "Bacterial small subunit ribosomal RNA", at positions 29 to 507 of the family's 1533-position model. The record is from RNAcentral.